GGGAUUUCUAGCGGGUAUAGCGGAAUGGUAGGGAAGUCUGACCCGCAAACAAGGGUAGACGCAAAAUACCCUGCACUGCUAUUUAAGCAGCAUUUAACUGCUUAUGUGGAGAAGCUAUACGGUAUGAUUCGAGACAGUCUAAAGAAAGAUAUCAGUCCAUUGCUAACUUUGUGCAUACAGGCACCACGAUCUGCAAGAGUA
RNAcentral lists this unclassified non-coding RNA (201 nucleotides) under Hevea brasiliensis (rubber tree). Lineage: Eukaryota; Viridiplantae; Streptophyta; Magnoliopsida; Malpighiales; Euphorbiaceae. The record is from RNAcentral.